RNAcentral lists this ribosomal RNA (942 nucleotides) under Panthera onca (jaguar). RNAcentral's name for it is "partial 16S ribosomal RNA". Lineage: Eukaryota; Metazoa; Chordata; Mammalia; Carnivora; Felidae. The record is from RNAcentral.
UCGAGGGCUUUACUGUCUCUUACUUCCAAUCCGUGAAAUUGACCUUCCCGUGAAGAGGCGGAAUAUGACAAUAAGACGAGAAGACCCUAUGAGCUUUAAUUAACCGACCCAAAGAGAUCUGAUAAUCAACCGACAGGAUAACAUACCUCUACCAUGGGCCGACAAUUUAGGUUGGUACCUCGAGAAUAAAACAACCUCCGAGUAUUUAAAUUCUGAUUAACUAGUGAAAGUACUACAUCACUUAUUGAUCCAAAAACUUGAUCAACGGAACAAGUUACCCUAGGGAUAACAGCGCAAUCGAGGGCUUUACUGUCUCUUACUUCYAAUCCGUGAWAUUGACCUUCCCGUGAAGAGGCGGGAAUAUGACAAUAAGACGAGAAGACCCUAUGGAGCUUUAAUUAACCGACCCAAAGAGAUCUUGAUAAUCAACCGACAGGGAUAACAUACCUCUACCAUGGGCCGACAAUUUAGGUUGGGGUGACCUCGGAGAAUAAAACAACCUCCGAGUGAUUUAAAUCUAGACUAACUAGUCGAAAGUACUACAUCACUUAUUGAUCCAAAAACUUGAUCAACGGAACAAGUUACCCUAGGGAUAACAGCKCAAUCCUAUUUUAGAGUCCAUAUCGACAAUAGGAUUGCGCUGUUUUAUCUCGGGUGUAACUGGUUGGGUGAUCAAGUUUUUGGAUCAAUAAGGGAUGUAGUACUUUCGACUAGUUAGUCUAGAUUUAAAUCACUCGGAGGUUGUUUUAUUCUCCGAGGUCACCCCAACCUAAAUUGUCGGCCCAUGGUAGAGGUAUGUUAUCCUGUCGGUUGAUUAUCAAGAUCUCUUUGGGUCGGUUAAUUAAAGCUCCAUAGGGUCUUCUCGUCUUAUUGUCAUAUUCCCGCCUCUUCACGGGAAGGUCAAUUUCACGGAUUGGAAGUAAGAGACAGUAAAGCCCUCGA